This 573-nucleotide ribosomal RNA is filed under the name Apiotrichum gracile. RNAcentral describes it as "LSU rRNA". It matches the Rfam family "Eukaryotic large subunit ribosomal RNA", at positions 72 to 638 of the family's 3401-position model. The record is from RNAcentral. Lineage: Eukaryota; Fungi; Basidiomycota; Tremellomycetes; Trichosporonales; Trichosporonaceae.
GGAUCCCCUAGUAACGGCGAGUGAACCGGGAAGAGCUCAAAUUUGUAAUCUGGCUGUCUUCGAUAGUCCGAGUUGUAAUCUAUAGAAGCGUUUUCCGUGCUGAACUGUGUAUAAGUCCCUUGGAACAGGGUAUCAAAGAGGGUGACAAUCCCGUACUUUACACAAUCAUCAGUGCUCUGUGAUACGUUCUCUACGAGUCGAGUUGUUUGGGAAUGCAGCUCAAAAUGGGUGGUAAAUUCCAUCUAAAGCUAAAUAUUGGCGAGAGACCGAUAGCGAACAAGUACCGUGAGGGAAAGAUGAAAAGCACUUUGGAAAGAGAGUUAAACAGUACGUGAAAUUGUUAAAAGGGAAACGAUUGAAGUCAGUCGUGUUUAUUGGAUUCAGCCGGUCUUCGGUGUACUUCCUUUAAACGGGUCAACAUCAGUUUUGUUCGGUGGAUAAAGAUGCUAGGAAUGUAGCUUCCUCGGAAGUGUUAUAGACUAGUAUUGCAUACACUGGAGGAGACUGAGGACUGCAGCUCGCCUUUUGGCCGGGGUUCGCCCACGUUCGAGCUUAGGAUGUUGACAUAAUGGC